CGAGAGCGACCGGUGCUUGCACUGGUCAAUCUAGUGGCGAACGGGUGAGUAACACGUGGGUAACCUGCCCAUCAGAGGGGGAUAACAUUCGGAAACGGAUGCUAAAACCGCAUAGGUCUUCGAACCGCAUGGUUUGAAGAGGAAAAGAGGCGCAAGCUUCUGCUGAUGGAUGGACCCGCGGUGCAUUAGCUAGUUGGUGAGGUAACGGCUCACCAAGGCCGUGAUGCAUAGCCGACCUGAGAGGGUGAUCGGCCACAUUGGGACUGAGACACGGCCCAAACUCCUACGGGAGGCAGCAGUAGGGAAUCUUCCGCAAUGGACGCAAGUCUGACGGAGCAACGCCGCGUGAGUGAAGAAGGUUUUCGGAUCGUAAAACUCUGUUGUUAGAGAAGAACAAGUGCUAGAGUAACUGUUAGCGCCUUGACGGUAUCUAACCAGAAAGCCACGGCUAACUACGUGCCAGCAGCCGCGGUAAUACGUAGGUGGCAAGCGUUGUCCGGAUUUAUUGGGCGUAAAGCGAGCGCAGGCGGUUCCUUAAGUCUGAUGUGAAAGCCCCCGGCUCAACCGGGGAGGGUCAUUGGAAACUGGGGAACUUGAGUGCAGAAGAGGAGAGUGGAAUUCCAUGUGUAGCGGUGAAAUGCGUAGAUAUAUGGAGGAACACCAGUGGCGAAGGCGACUCUCUGGUCUGUAACUGACGCUGAGGCUCGAAAGCGUGGGGUAGCAAACAGGAUUAGAUACCCUGGUAGUCCACGCCGUAAACGAUGAGUGCUAAGU
RNAcentral lists this ribosomal RNA (774 nucleotides) under uncultured Granulicatella sp. RNAcentral's name for it is "bacterial SSU rRNA". It matches the Rfam family "Bacterial small subunit ribosomal RNA", at positions 67 to 821 of the family's 1533-position model. Lineage: Bacteria; Bacillati; Bacillota; Bacilli; Lactobacillales; Carnobacteriaceae. The record is from RNAcentral.